GAUGAACGCUGGCGGCGUGCCUAAUACAUGCAAGUCGAGCGAACGGACGAGAAGCUUGCUUCUCUGAUGUUAGCGGCGGACGGGUGAGUAACACGUGGAUAACCUACCUAUAAGACUGGGACAACUUCGGGAAACCGGAGCUAAUACCGGAUAAUAUUUUGAACCGCAUGGUUCAAAAGUGAAAGACGGUCUUGCUGUCACUUAUAGAUGGAUCCGCGCUGCAUUAGCUAGUUGGUAAGGUAACGGCUUACCAAGGCAACGAUGCAUAGCCGACCUGAGAGGGUGAUCGGACACACUGGAACUGAGACACGGUCCAGACUCCUACGGGAGGCAGCAGUAGGGAAUCUUCCGCAAUGGGCGAAAGCCUGACGGAGCAACGCCGCGUGAGUGAUGAAGGUCUUCGGAUCGUAAAACUCUGUUAUUAGGGAAGAACAUAUGUGUAAGUAACUGUGCACAUCUUGACGGUACCUAAUCAGAAAGCCACGGCUAACUACGUG
This 497-nucleotide ribosomal RNA is filed under the name uncultured bacterium. RNAcentral describes it as "partial 16S ribosomal RNA". It matches the Rfam family "Bacterial small subunit ribosomal RNA", at positions 28 to 507 of the family's 1533-position model. The record is from RNAcentral.